Molecule: ribosomal RNA, 447 nt
Filed under: uncultured bacterium
Lineage: Bacteria
Description: bacterial SSU rRNA
Rfam family: Bacterial small subunit ribosomal RNA
Source: RNAcentral
GAUGAACGCUGGCGGCGUGCUUAACACAUGCAAGUCGAGCGAAGCAGUUAAGUUGAUUUCUUCGGAUUGAUUCUUAAUUGACUGAGCGGCGGACGGGUGAGUAACGCGUGGGUGACCUGCCCCAUACCGGGGGGAUAACAGCUGGAAACGGCUGCUAAUACCGCAUAAGCGCACAGAGCUGCAUGGCUCGGUGUGAAAAACUCCGGUGGUAUGGGAUGGGCCCGCGUCUGAUUAGGCAGUUGGCGGGGUAACGGCCCACCAAACCGACGAUCAGUAGCCGGCCUGAGAGGGCGACCGGCCACAUUGGGACUGAGACACGGCCCAAACUCCUACGGGAGGCAGCAGUGGGGAAUAUUGCACAAUGGGGGAAACCCUGAUGCAGCGACGCCGCGUGAGCGAAGAAGUAUUUCGGUAUGUAAAGCUCUAUCAGCAGGGAAGAUAAUGACG